AUGGUGCUUCUGUCACCAACCAAGGAGGGCCUACAGCAGCACCUAGAUCUUAUGCACAAUCUUAUGCACAGAUUCUGUCAGACCUGGGCCCUGACAGUAAAUCUCAGUAAGACCAAAAUAAUGGUGUUCCAAAAAAGGUCCAGUCACCAGGACCACAAAUACAAAUUCCAUCUAGACACUGUUGCCCUAGAGCACACAAAAAACUAUACAUACCUUGGCCUAAACAUCAGCGCCACAGGUAACUUCCACAAAGCUGUGAACGAUCUGAGAAACAAGGCAAGAAGGGCAUUCUAUGCCAUCAAAAGGAACAUACAUUUCAACAUACCAUUUAGGAUUUGGCUAAAAAUACUUGAAUCAGUCAUAGAGCCCAUUGCCCUUUAUGGUUGUGAGAUCUGGGGUCCGCUCACCAACCAAGACUUCACAAAAUGGGACAAACACCAAAUUGAGACUCUGCACGCAGAAUUCUGCAAAAAUAUCCUCCGUGUACAACGUAGAACACCAAAUAAUGCAUGCAGAGCAGAAUUAGGCCGAUACCCACUAAUUAUCAAAAUCCAGACAAGAGCCGUUAAAUUCUAUAACCACCUAAAAGGAAGCAAUUCCCAAACCUUCCAUAACAAAGCCAUCACCUACAGAGAGAUUAACCUAGAGAAGAGUCCCCUAAGCAAGCUGGUCCUGGGGCUCUGUUCACAAACACAAACACACCCCACAGAGCCCCAGGACAGCAGCACAAUUAGACCCAACCAAAUCAUGAGAAAACAAAAAGAUAAUUACUUGACACAUUGGAAAGAAUUAACAAAAAAACUGAGCAAACUAGAAUGCUAUUUGGCCCUACACAGAGAGUACACAGCGGCAGAAUACCUGACCACUGUGACUGACCCAAAAUUAAGGAAAGCUUUGACUAUGUACAGACUCAGUGAGCAUAGCCUUGCUAUUGAGAAAGACCGCCGUAGGCAGACAUGGCUCUCAAGAGAAGACAGGCUAUGUGCUCACUGCCCACAAAAUGAGGUGGAAACUGAGCUGCACUUCCUAACCUCCUGCCCAAUGUAUGACCAUAUUAGAGAGACAUAUUUCCCUCAGAUUACACAGAUCCACAAAGAAUUCGAAAACAAAUCCAAUUUUGAUAAACUCCCAUAUCUACUGGGGGAAAUUCCACAGUGUGCCAUCACAGCAGCAAGAUUUGUGACCUGUUGCCACGAGAAAAGGGCAACCAGUGAAGAACACACACCAUUGUAA
This 1233-nucleotide long non-coding RNA is filed under the name Oncorhynchus mykiss (rainbow trout). Its description in RNAcentral is "lncRNA (ENSOMYG00000051292.1)". Lineage: Eukaryota; Metazoa; Chordata; Actinopteri; Salmoniformes; Salmonidae. The record is from RNAcentral.